UGCAAAACUGUGGUGCCAAUAGCUUAUUGAAUCAGACAUCUUGUCAGGUUUGCAAAUUCAUGAUUAAGUUGCAUUUUCUAUGACUACAAAAGUGAAGACUUAAAUAUGUCCAAACUGUUAUGUGAUUUUAUAGAAAGGAUUGGCAUGUGCCCUAUCUCCAUGAAAGGACCAUCGUCCACAGCUCUUCUUCGUGUUGGAGAAGCAUUUGACAUAUAAGCACACCUUAAAAUUUACAUAUGAACUGGACCCUUAUCUGCGCAUUGUGCAGAUAUUUUUAAUUUUUUAUAAUUAUUAAUAAAAAGAAAAAAUCCAUUCCUUUUUUUCCUUUUCCCUAUAUUACUGGUAUCAUAUUCCCCAUGGAAGCUCCACGCUUUCUCUCUCCCUCUGAACUUCUACUCAGAGAAAACAAAGAAGAAGCAGUGCAGAUAGAGACCCCAGUGUGAAUUUGGAGAUUUCCCACUCGCCUUUUUCUUUGACUUUUUUGUUCACAUCAAUUCUCUUUUCCCAUUUCCUUUCAAGUUUUAAUCUUUCUUCUUCUUGAAUUUUCUCUCAUUCUUUUUCUUUUUCAUCGAAUGUGAUCAUUUCACGGGUGUUUGGAGAUCACAAAGGUCUCUGAAACCAUAAAUCUUCUAUAUUGUCUCCUUCUUCUUCCUUUCUGUUUCAGCUUGUCAUUCCCUCUUUUUCUUCAAAUUCUGCUUUUUGGGUUCUUUGAUUGAGCUCGGUUUCUUGAUUAUUUAAGACCCGAUUAGGCAGUUUCGGUUUCUUUACGUGUUUUGAUGGAUCUGUCCCUGCGGUUUUUUUUUUUAUUAUUUAUGGAGGUUGGAUGCAUUUCUCGAUCAUAUAAUCUGUUUCCAAAAUUUUCAAUUUUUUGCUUCUUUCUAAUUGAUUCCUUACCAGAACUCUCAUACCCAUCCAGCUAAUCUUUAAUGUCUGUAAUUUUAUAAGGCAAAUUUGCUCUGUAUUUUCUUUCUCCAAGCUUUCUCUGUUUUUUCAAGGACUUUCGUAGAUGGGUUGUGCUAGCUCAAAACAAAAGCGUUGCCGGCACUGCCACGCACCCUGCUCUCCGACGCCUCGGAGCUACUCAAUGCAUGUGGUUCAUCCGCCGCAGAAUAAAGGCGAUAACUACCAUGUAGUGGCGCUCACCUCCACUACAUUAGGCUCUCUGGCGCUCGAUUCACCUUCCAAUUACAAGGACAACGUCAACGAUGCUAUUGAUAUUUGGGCAGCGAGAGGCAAUGAUCAGGAGAAUUUGAGUGUGUGUGAUGGGCAAAAUGGGAUUUCAGAUGAUGAGGAAUUGAAGACCAAAGAAUUUUCGGUGGGUUUAAUUGAAGCCAAGUCAUGGUCUAAUAUGAUCCAAGAAAAAAUUCCCAAAAUUGUCCCUAAAACACCGGUAAGAACGCCGCCGGGAGAGCCUGAAACGAUCAAUGCUUGGGAGCUUAUGGCAGGGCUUGAAGAAGAUGAUGGUUCUGUACAUCUACCUCAUCGGUUUCGCAGCUUCUCUUUCGAUGUUUCUCGCAAUCCAAGUCCAGUUCUUGAUAGCCCAAGAAUUAAUGGUGUCACAUUUUCAUCAAAUAAGCCGCAGACUAAUCGGAAACCUCUGUGGCUUCAAUUAGCCGAUGAAGAAGCAAAUUCCAAGUGUUCAGAAUUCGACCCUCAAAUCUUUUCCGCUUUCAGAAAAUCUUUCCAAGAUCUCUCUCCCACCCAUCCAUUUUACCUCAAGCCAUCGGACGGCGAGAAACAACAAUCACCUGCUCCUCCUGCCUCGGCCGGCAACAAUCAAAUUAAAGAGAUUAACAAAGGCGGCAAGGAGAAGGUGGUAGUAUACUUCACAAGCCUACGAGGAGUUCGAAAAACAUACGAAGAUUGCUGCCAUGUGAGGGUGAUCUUAAAAAGCUUAGGUGUUCGAAUUGAUGAGCGAGACGUUUCGAUGCAUUCAGGGUUUAAGGAGGAGUUAAGAGAGCUAUUGGGAGAAGGGUUUAGCGGAGGAGGACUACCAAAGGUGUUCGUGGGAAUAAAGUACAUCGGCGGAGCUGAGGAGAUAAGGCGAAUGCACGAAGAAGGAGAGCUAGAGAAAGUGGUUGAAGAUUGUGAAAUGGUGCAGGACAGUGGUGGAAUUGGUAAUGGAACUUGUGAGGCUUGUGGGGAUAUCAGAUUUGUGCCAUGCGAGACAUGUUCUGGGAGCUGUAAGAUUUACUAUGAACGCGAUGAAGAAGAAGAAGAAGAAGAA
Molecule: unclassified non-coding RNA, 2227 nt
Filed under: Hevea brasiliensis (rubber tree)
Lineage: Eukaryota; Viridiplantae; Streptophyta; Magnoliopsida; Malpighiales; Euphorbiaceae
Source: RNAcentral